GAUGAACGCUGGCGGCGUGCUUAACACAUGCAAGUCGAACGGGAAUUCUUUUAUUGAAACUUCGGUCGAUUUAAUUUAAUUCUAGUGGCGGACGGGUGAGUAACGCGUGGGUAACCUGCCUUAUACAGGGGGAUAACAGUCAGAAAUGGCUGCUAAUACCGCAUAAGCGCACAGAGCUGCAUGGCUCAGUGUGUAAAACUCCGGUGGUAUAAGAUGGACCCGCGUUGGAUUAGCUUGUUGGCAGGGUAACGGCCUACCAAGGCGACGAUCCAUAGCCGGCCUGAGAGGGUGAACGGCCACAUUGGGACUGAGACACGGCCCAGACUCCUACGGGAGGCAGCAGUGGGGAAUAUUGCACAAUGGGGGAAACCCUGAUGCAGCGACGCCGCGUGAAGGAAGAAGUAUCUCGGUAUGUAAACUUCUAUCAGCAGGGAAGAUAGUGACGGUACCUGACUAAGAAGCCCCGGCUAACUACGUG
RNAcentral lists this ribosomal RNA (478 nucleotides) under uncultured bacterium. RNAcentral describes it as "partial 16S ribosomal RNA". It matches the Rfam family "Bacterial small subunit ribosomal RNA", at positions 28 to 507 of the family's 1533-position model. The record is from RNAcentral.